Regulatory RNA element from Phascolarctobacterium sp., 136 nucleotides. It matches the Rfam family "Ribosomal protein L10 leader". From Rfam's summary of the family: This family is a putative r-protein leader autoregulatory structure found in B. subtilis and other low-GC Gram-positive bacteria. It is located in the 5' untranslated regions of mRNAs encoding ribosomal proteins L10 and L12 (rplJ-rplL). A Rho-independent transcription terminator structure that is probably involved in regulation is included at the 3' end. Lineage: Bacteria; Bacillati; Bacillota; Negativicutes; Acidaminococcales; Acidaminococcaceae. The record is from Rfam.
AAUCAGAAGAUAAUCGGGCCAUAGACAGCAGGUGCCACAUGCGUAAGUUUUAACUACGCCUGCCGAGGCUGGAGCGUGAAGAUAUAUUAGACCUUCCGACCUCCGGCUACGGCCGAGAGGUCUUUUUGAUUUAAUA